RNAcentral lists this ribosomal RNA (1319 nucleotides) under human gut metagenome. RNAcentral describes it as "bacterial LSU rRNA". It matches the Rfam family "Bacterial large subunit ribosomal RNA", at positions 703 to 2112 of the family's 2925-position model. The record is from RNAcentral.
CAUGCAAUGGGCCCGAAACCGGGUGACCUACCCAUGAUCAGGCUGAAGUGAAAGUAAAAUUUCAUGGAGGGCCGAACCGACCUCCGUUGAAAAGGCGGCGGAUGAAUUGUGGGUAGCGGAGAAAUUCCAAUCGAACUCGGAGAUAGCUGGUUCUCCCCGAAAUAGCUUUAGGGCUAGCCUCAUAUUAGAUACCCGGAGGUAAAGCACUGAAUGGCCUAGCGCCCGAGAGGGUAGCGAAGCCUAUCAAACUAAGAAUGCCGGAGUAUUGAUGUAUGGGAGUCAGACAGUGUGAGAUAAAUCUCAUUGUCAAAAGGGAAACAGCCCAGAUCUACAGCUAAGGUCCCAAAUUGUAUCUAAGUGGAAAACGAUGUGGAAAUACGCAGACAACCAGGAUGUUGGCUCAGAAGCAGCCACUCAUUUAAAGAGUGCGUAAUAGCUCACUGGUCGAGCGUCUCUGCGCGGAAAAUUUAACGGGGCUAAGAUACAAACCGAAGCUUAGGCUGCACGUAAGUGCGGGGUAGGGGAGCGUUGUGUAAGCGGAGAAACAGUAGCGUAAGCGGCUGUGGAGUUUACAGAAGUGAGAAUGCCGGAAUGAGUAGCGCGAAUGUGGUGAGAAUCCACAUGGCCGGAAACCUCAGGUUUUUGGAGGAAGGUUCGUCCGCUCCAAGUUAGGCGGGAGCUAAGGUAAGGCCGAAAGGCGUAGCCGAUGCACAGACGGUAGAGAUUCCGUCCCCACCGAAAGACUUAAGCACAGGGACACUUUCAGAAGGUCGGAGCCAGGUGUUGGUUCUGGUAGUGAUCGAGGGAAAUAUAGUACCGAAGUCCGGCUGGAAGAGAGGCGAGAAAAGCUGUGUGUAUGUUUAAGGUGCCCGUACCGCAAACCGACACAGGUAGGUAGGAAGAAGAUUCUAAGGCCAACGGGAGAAGGGUUGUUAAGGAACUCGGCAAAUUGACCCCGUAACUUCGGGAGAAGGGGUGCUCCAGAGAUGGAGCCGCAGAGAAUCGGCCCAAGCAACUGUUUACCAAAAACACAGGUUUGUGCUAAAUCGAAAGAUGACGUAUACGAGCUGACGCCUGCCCGGUGCUGGAAGGUUAAAAGGAGAUGUGCAAGCAUUGAAUUGAAGCCCCAGUGAACGGCGGCCGUAACUAUAACGGUCCUAAGGUAGCGAAAUUCCUUGUCAGGUAAGUUCUGACCCGCAUGAAAGGCGUAAUGAUUUGGGCACUGUCUCAACAGCCCGCCCGGCGAAAUUGUAGUACCGGUGAAGAUGCCGGUUACCCGCGACAAGACGGAAAGACCCCAUGGAGCUUUACUGUAGCCU